GACGAACGCUGGCGGCGUGCUUAACACAUGCAAGUCGAACGGAAAGGCCCUGCUUUUGUGGGGUGCUCGAGUGGCGAACGGGUGAGUAACACGUGAGUAACCUGCCCUUGACUUUGGGAUAACUUCAGGAAACUGGGGCUAAUACCGGAUAGGAGCUCCUGCUGCAUGGGGGGGGUUGGAAAGUUUCGGCGGUUGGGGAUGGACUCGCGGCUUAUCAGCUUGUUGGUGGGGUAGUGGCUUACCAAGGCUUUGACGGGUAGCCGGCCUGAGAGGGUGACCGGCCACAUUGGGACUGCGAUACGGCCCAGACUCCUACGGGCGGCAGCAGUGGGGAAUCUUGCACAAUGGGCGGAAGCCUGAUGCAGCAACGCCGCGUGCGGGAUGACGGCCUUCGGGUUGUAAACCGCUUUCGCCUGUGACGAAGCGUGAGUGACGGUAAUGGGUAAAGAAGCACCGGCUAACUACGUG
RNAcentral lists this ribosomal RNA (468 nucleotides) under uncultured bacterium. RNAcentral describes it as "partial 16S ribosomal RNA". It matches the Rfam family "Bacterial small subunit ribosomal RNA", at positions 28 to 507 of the family's 1533-position model. The record is from RNAcentral.